RNAcentral lists this ribosomal RNA (253 nucleotides) under uncultured bacterium. RNAcentral's name for it is "partial 16S ribosomal RNA". It matches the Rfam family "Bacterial small subunit ribosomal RNA", at positions 524 to 776 of the family's 1533-position model. The record is from RNAcentral.
AACGUAGGUACCGAGCGUUAUCCGGAUUUACUGGGCGUAAAGCGCGUUCAGGCGGCUCAGCAAGUCGGGCAUGAAAUCUCUCGGCUCAACCGGGAGGGGCUGUCCGAAACUGCUGGGCUUGAGGGCAGUAGAGGGUGGUGGAAUUCCGGGUGUAGUGGUGAAAUGCGUAGAUAUCCGGAGGAACACCAGUGGCGAAAGCGGCCACCUGGACUGUACCUGACGCUCAAACGCGAAAGCUAGGGGAGCGAACAGG